Homo sapiens (human) is the source of this 1942-nucleotide long non-coding RNA. The record is from Ensembl. NCBI's taxonomy places the organism in Eukaryota, Metazoa, Chordata, Mammalia, Primates, Hominidae.
GUGGCCCAGGCUGGAGUGCAGUGGAGAUAUCUCAGCUUACAGCAACCUCCGCCUCCCAGGCUCAAGCCAUCCUCACCUCAGCCUCCCAAGUAGCUGGGAUGCACCACCGCGCCCAGCUAAUUUUUGUAUUUUUGGGGUAGAGACGGUAUUUCGCCAUGUUGCCCAUCUGGUCUCCAACUCCUAGGCUCAAGCGAUCCUCCUGCCUCAGUCUCCCAAAGUGCUACGAUUAGAAGUGUGAGCCACCACACCCAGCUGGUUACUUUUUUUAGUGCAAAAAUUGAGUCAUGCUAUAUAAACAUCACUUGUUUUUUACCUUUUAUAUGUACUACAUCACUUUGAAAAUGUGAUGACAUUGACCCUUUUCCCCAGAAAAAUGAACAUUCUCACUAAAUUCUGUAGAUAAUUUCUCGGCAUUCAUGAACUACAUGAAGCCAUUCAUGGGCAAGGACUCCAGGCUAAGAACCCUGGUAGCUUUUUUCAAAAUUUUCAAAAAUUUAACUCCUGGGCUCCUUCCAUCUUAUCCCCAGCAUCUGAACACCUCUCCGUGCCAAUAACUGUUUCCAACACCAUAUUCUUCUAAUGGCUGUGUUAUGUUCUGCUUUAUGGAGUCCUAUAACUUUCAAUAAAAGUGAUCACCAUGUUCCAUGAAUUACCCCUGCAAUUCAUCCUUACGGCAGCCCGUGGAAGUGUUCCCGUUUUACAGAUAAAGCUCAGCGGCGUUAUGACAGCCGCCAUGUGGCAGAUCCAGGAUUGAAAAAAAGGUCUGUCCAACUCCUAAUGCCGCAUUCUUCACUUCCAGACUCUCCUUGUUUAUUGAAGCCUUUCUGCGUGAGUCAAUCUCUCCAAAUAUGCCUGGUGCCACUGUAAGCCGCACCAUGGACCGAUCCCUUCCUUUGGGCCUUCUCCCUGAACCUCUCCAAGGGAGAAUCUGUGCUGUCUCUUCAGGAACUGGGUUAAGGAUGGCUGGGGUUCUCAGGAACUGUGUUGUCUGGCCCCCAGAAAGCUCUGGGUGUGGGCCCUUCCCCCCAAGCCUCCUGAAGCUCUGGAGAAGCCUCCUGGGGCCUGGCUGAUUGGGGUUUCCUGGAAUCGUGUUGGCGAGGAGGAGGGAGCCGGCCAGAAAAUGGAAGUGGACGUAUGGACGGACCAAGGCUCUGCGAUGCUCAGUACUGAGAGAAGCACCAGCACCACUUGGUGGCACACAAAGAUGGAGAGAAGAAUUCCGCCCAGGAAGGUUUCAGGGAGGGAGGGGGCUUUGGGACUGGCCUUGAAGCCAGAGUGGGGACUGUGAGGGAGGCCACUUUUUGCUUAGGGAAAAGCAAGAAUGUUGCCCCACUGCCCUCACCUGCCCACCCCUCAACAAGACUGUGGCUUUCUCAGGAGCAGAGACUUUGUCUUCCACCAUGUGGUUAAGUCCUGGGCUAAGUCAAAGCCUUCACAACCAUUAUACAGGUGGGAAGCCUGAGGCUCAGGCAGAAGUGGUCAGGUUAGAGCUCAAACUCAAGCGCUGGGACUCCAGUGCCUUGAAGUGUGGGGCCCUGAGGAUACCAGAGCAGCACCAAGGCAUUCACUUGAGCCCUGAGUGAAGAACUGUCCUCCCCAGAAUGGGUGGGGACAAAUGACAGCCACUGACCCCCUACUGUGCAUCAGCUGCUCCUCAAAGAACCCCGAGAAAGCAUUUAGCCCCACGUUACAGAUGAAGAAACUGAGGCCCCACAACUAGUACAGCGUGAGGCUAGGAUCUGCCGGUCUCUGUAGCUCAGGGACAUGAACGCUGCCCUUUCUGCCCCCGGCUGCAGGCACACCCCUUUUACAGAGAAAAUGCAAAGCACCUGGGCUCCCUUCUUCAGUCGCUGAGACCCAGAACUGCCCAGUUCCAGGCUCUUAACAUGUCAUUGUGAGUGCAGAAACACUUUUGUUGAGGUGAAAAACAGAAAGUUCCCAA